Phodopus roborovskii (desert hamster) is the source of this 164-nucleotide small nuclear RNA. RefSeq annotates it as U1 spliceosomal RNA. The transcript has a single exon. The record is from RefSeq and is a predicted model, not a curated record. Lineage: Eukaryota; Metazoa; Chordata; Mammalia; Rodentia; Cricetidae.
AUACUUAUGUGGCCAGGGAGCUACCAUGAUCACAAAGAUGGUGUUCUCUGAGCUAGGCUAAUCUACUUCACUCCAGAUAUGCAGACCCCUGUAAUUUCCCCAAGUUCAGGAAACUAAACUGCAUAAUUUGUGGCAGUGGGGGACUGAGUUUGCACUCUUCUCUG